This 493-nucleotide ribosomal RNA is filed under the name uncultured bacterium. Its description in RNAcentral is "partial 16S ribosomal RNA". It matches the Rfam family "Bacterial small subunit ribosomal RNA", at positions 28 to 507 of the family's 1533-position model. The record is from RNAcentral.
GACGAACGCUGGCGGCGUGCUUAACACAUGCAAGUCGAACGGUGAAGGGACCGGUUUUUGCUGGUUCUGGAUGAGUGGCGAACGGGUGAGUAACACGUGAGUAACCUGCCCCCUUCUUCUGGAUAACCGCAUGAAAGUGUGGCUAAUACGGGAUAUUCUGCGCCUGCUGCAUGGUGGGUGUGGGAAAGAUAUUGUUUCGGUGGGGGAUGGGCUCGCGGCCUAUCAGCUUGUUGGUGGGGUGAUGGCCUACCAAGGCGGUGACGGGUAGCCGGCCUGAGAGGGUGGACGGUCACACUGGGGCAGAGACACGGCCCAGACUCCUACGGGAGGCAGCAGUGGGGAAUAUUGCACAAUGGGCGCAAGCCUGAUGCAGCGACGCCGCGUGAGGGAUGGAGGCCUUCGGGUUGUAAACCUCUUUCGCCAGUGAAGCAGGCCUGUCCCUUUUGUGGGUGGGUUGACGGUAGCUGGAGAAGAAGCGCCGGCUAACUACGUG